This 301-nucleotide ribosomal RNA is filed under the name uncultured bacterium. Its description in RNAcentral is "partial 16S ribosomal RNA". It matches the Rfam family "Bacterial small subunit ribosomal RNA", at positions 509 to 807 of the family's 1533-position model. The record is from RNAcentral.
CAGUAGCCGCGGGAAAACGAAGGGUGCAAGCGUUACUCGGAAUUACUGGGCGUAAAGCGUGCGUAGGUGGUGGUUUAAGUCCGUUGUGAAAGCCCUGGGCUCAACCUGGGAAUUGCAGUGGAUACUGGGUCACUAGAGUGUGGUAGAGGAUAGUGGAAUUUCCGGUGUAGCAGUGAAAUGCGUAGAGAUCGGAAGGAACAUCUGUGGCGAAGGCGACUAUCUGGGCCAACACUGACACUGAGGCACGAAAGCGUGGGGAGCAAACAGGAUUAGAUACCCCUGUAGUCCCUGUCUCUUAUAC